RNAcentral lists this ribosomal RNA (214 nucleotides) under uncultured bacterium. Its description in RNAcentral is "partial 16S ribosomal RNA". It matches the Rfam family "Bacterial small subunit ribosomal RNA", at positions 32 to 237 of the family's 1533-position model. The record is from RNAcentral.
AAUCAACGCUGGCGGCGUGCCUAACACAUGCAAGUCGAACGAGAAAGUGGAGCAAUCCAUGAGUAAAGUGGCGACCGGGUGAGUAACACGUGACUAACCUACCCUGAAGUGGGGAAUAACCUCGGGAAACCGGGGCGUAUACCGCAUAAUAUCGCGAGCUGUAAACGACUUGUGAUCAAAGGAAGCAAUUCGCUUUAGGUAGGGGGUCGGCGGC